ACCCGCACAAGCGGUGGAUGAUGUGGAUUAAUUCGAUGCAACGCGAAGAACCUUACCUACCCUUGACAUGUCCGGAACUUGCCAGAGAUGGCUUGGUGCCCGAAAGGGAACCGGAACACAGGUGCUGCAUGGCUGUCGUCAGCUCGUGUCGUGAGAUGUUGGGUUAAGUCCCGCAACGAGCGCAACCCUUGUCCUUAGUUGCUACGCAAGAGCACUCUAAGGAGACUGCCGGUGACAAACCGGAGGAAGGUGGGGAUGACGUCAAGUCCUCAUGGCCCUUAUGGGUAGGGCUUCACACGUCAUACAAUGGUCGGUACAGAGGGUUGCCAAGCCGCGAGGUGGAGCCAAUCCCACAAAGCCGAUCGUAGUCCGGAUUGUUCUCUGCAACUCGAGAGCAUGAAGUCGGAAUCGCUAGUAAUCGCGGAUCAGCAUGUCGCGGUGAAUACGUUCCCGGGUCUU
This 459-nucleotide ribosomal RNA is filed under the name uncultured Thiobacillus sp. RNAcentral's name for it is "bacterial SSU rRNA". It matches the Rfam family "Bacterial small subunit ribosomal RNA", at positions 919 to 1382 of the family's 1533-position model. The record is from RNAcentral. Lineage: Bacteria; Pseudomonadati; Pseudomonadota; Betaproteobacteria; Nitrosomonadales; Thiobacillaceae.